This 254-nucleotide ribosomal RNA is filed under the name uncultured bacterium. RNAcentral's name for it is "partial 16S ribosomal RNA". It matches the Rfam family "Bacterial small subunit ribosomal RNA", at positions 524 to 776 of the family's 1533-position model. The record is from RNAcentral.
UACGGGGGGAGCAAGCGUUGUUCGGAUUUACUGGGCGUAAAGGGCGCGUAGGCGGUCAGCACAAGUCAGUUGUGAAAUCUCCGGGCUUAACUCGGAAAGGUCAACUGAUACUGUGCGACUAGAGUGCAGAAGGGGCAACUGGAAUUCUCGGUGUAGCGGUGAAAUGCGUAGAUAUCGGGAGGAACAUCAGUGGCGAAGGCGGCUGCCUGGCCCAAUACUGACACUCAGGUGCGACAGCGUGGGGAGCAAACAGG